GAGUUUGAUCCUGGCUCAGGAUGAACGCUAGCGGCAGGCUUAACACAUGCAAGUCGAGGGGUAACAGGGUUUAGUUUACUAAGCUGCUGACGACCGGCGCACGGGUGAGUAACGCGUAUACAAUUUACCUUUUACAGGAGGAUAGCCCAGAGAAAUUCGGAUUAAUACUCCAUGGCAUUACGGAAUCGCAUGGUUUUGUAAUUAAAGCUUCGGUGGUAGAAGAUGAGUAUGCGUCCUAUUAGCUAGAUGGAGAGGUAACGGCUCCCCAUGGCGACGAUAGGUAGGGGUCCUGAGAGGGAGAUCCCCCACACUGGUACUGAGACACGGACCAGACUCCUACGGGAGGCAGCAGUGAGGAAUAUUGGUCAAUGGAGGCAACUCUGAACCAGCCAUGCCGCGUGCAGGAAGACUGCCCUAUGGGUUGUAAACUGCUUUUAUACAGGAAGAAACUUAUCCACGUGUGGAUAACUGACGGUACUGUACGAAUAAGGACCGGCUAACUCCGUGCCAGCAGCCGCGGUAAUACGGAGGGUCCAAGCGUUAUCCGGAAUCAUUGGGUUUAAAGGGUCCGUAGGCGGGCAAUUAAGUCAGAGGUGAAAUCCCACAGCUCAACUGUGGAACUGCCUUUGAUACUGGUUGUCUUGAGUUACAGUGAAGUAGAUAGAAUAUGUAGUGUAGCGGUGAAAUGCAUAGAUAUUACAUAGAAUACCGAUUGCGAAGGCAGUCUACUAACUGUAUACUGACGCUAAGGGACGAAAGCGUGGGGAGCGAACAGGAUUAGAUACCCUGGUAGUCCACGCCGUAAACGAUGGUCACUAGUUGUUGGGGCAUUAUGCUUCAGUGAUUAAGCGAAAGUGAUAAGUGACCCACCUGGGGAGUACGAUCGCAAGAUUGAAACUCAAAGGAAUUGACGG
This 914-nucleotide ribosomal RNA is filed under the name uncultured bacterium. RNAcentral's name for it is "bacterial SSU rRNA". It matches the Rfam family "Bacterial small subunit ribosomal RNA", at positions 9 to 916 of the family's 1533-position model. The record is from RNAcentral.